UGCAGGUCACUCUUUUUGCAGUACACUGUGCUGGAUGCUUCAACUAUUUAAUUGCUGACAGAUACCAUGAUGCAAAGAGAACCUGGAUAGGUGCAGCAAUGCCAAAUUUCAGAUCAGAAAGCCUGUGGAUCAGAUAUGUAACGGCAACUUACUGGUCCAUUACAACACUGACAACAACUGGUUAUGGUGACUUACAUGCCGAGAACACGAGAGAAAUGUUGUUUGAUAUCUUCUACAUGCUGUUUAAUUUGGGACUGACUGCUUACCUCAUUGGAAACAUGACGAACCUUGUUGUUCAUGGAACCAGCCGCACCAGAAACUUUGUAUGUUUCCUUCCCUCACCACAGUCGACAAUAAAUUUUGAAGUCCACUUUCUUACGCUUACCUGAUGAUGAGUUGGAAAGAUAAAGAAAUAAUUGUUACAAAUUACAAGUAAUCACUCAAAAAUAAAAUCUUAGAUUAAGUUCAUCAAUAUUAAUCUAACACAGAAUUAUUUUCAAUAAACAAAUAAUUGUUGCAAAUUACAAGUAAUCACACAAUAGCGAAUUCUUAGUUAAGUUCAUCAAUAUUAAUUUAACAUAGACAAUUAUAUUCAAUCAUUAUCAGAUAGAAGAUUAAUAAAUGUAUUCUUCAGGUAAUUUUUAUCCCGUAGAAAACAAAUAGCAACCUCCAUAUCAUUUUGAAAUUGUCAGCAAUACAUGCUCUCUUUUUCAAUGGUGUCUCACUAAAUUGAUCAGUCUUCCCAGUAAAUUACAGUCUUUUUCUUCUGAUCUGUAAGCGGAAACCUUAAAAAUUUAUCGAAUAACGUAUGCGCGCGCACGCCUGUAUAUAUGUGGCGUUCUCCACCAUCUGAAGAGACCAUGGAAUUGAUCUCUCCAGCUAGUUGAACAUCAGCCGUUACAGUUUGCCAACAGUUGAAAAUAAAUCAGCUAUUAGAGAGCAUAGAUGUCACACGUUUCUAUUAAGACGGUUCAUGUAAUUUUCUCUCUUUCCUGCUGAUGUUUCUCUUUUGAUGCUACAGAGGGAAACGAUUCAAGCUGCUUCUGAAUUUGCAGCACGAAAUCAGUUGCCUCAGCACAUAAAGGAUCAAAUGCUAUCUCACAUAUGCCUAAGGUUCAGGACAGAGGGGCUGAAACAGCAAGAAACUUUGAACGGCCUCCCGAAGGGCCUUCGUUCGAGCAUAGCAUACUAUUUAUUUUUUCCCAUUGUUAAGAGAGUCUAUCUUUUCCAUGGAGUUUCCUCUGAUUUCAUUUUCCAACUGGUACGGUAUCAAAAUUUUAACAGAAUAAAUGCAGCAAUUGCCAAAAUCCCUAACAUAUGCAUGGUCCAAAGCAUUGCCUGCAUACUGAUGCGACUUUCCUCCUGUAAAAUGUAAAUAGGUUACAGAAAUGCAGGCUGAAUACUUUCCGCCCAAGGAAGAUGUAAUACUGCAGAAUGAAACUCCAACAGAUCUUUAUAUAUUAGUAUCAGGAGCAGUGGUUAGUUUUAGUAAAAUUAUAUGCUCUACACCUCUGUAACAAUAACCUCGAUGCCUUAAUUCUUAGAGUUGUCUGCAAUUGUUGCCACUAAGUUGUAAUUGUGUGUGCAUUGACUUUGUUGCAGGAGCUAAGAGCAAACUUUAACGGAAUAGAGCAAGUAAGAGUUUUCUUCUGCGCACAAAAACAUGUUCUCAAAUACAUGCAUCUAAUAGAUGGAUUGCUAACCUUUAUCCAGGUUCAUGGAAGGGUAUUUUCUGGGGAAAUAUUUGGGGAGAGUGGGGUUCUAUGUUACACACCACAACCAUUUACUGUUCGUACAAUUGAGCUCUCCCAAAUACUGAGGCUGAGUAGCAUUAGACUCAUGAACUUGAUUAGAGAAAACAUGGAAGAUGGGACUAUUGUAAUGAACAACCUAUUCCAGGUACAUCUUGGAUUUGACUUGCCUAAUUGCACCAUGCAGAGUUCUUAAAUAAUUCUCUUAUUUUGACAGAAAUAGGAGCUGAUGCUUCUGUGCAUCAUUUUACAGAAGCUGAAGCUACACGAAAGCUUAUCUGAUGUUAUGCAACAUAAAGAUCCAAUAUUAGUCAAUGAAAGCUUUGAUGGAGGACCAAUCAGAGAAUAUGAGAACUUCCCUACUCGACACCAAGAAAAUCAGGUCCAGAAACAGCCAAUUAUGGACACAGGAAUCCUAUUAAGCAAGGAAGCAGAGAAUAACGAUCUCGACUCCAUAAAAGAGCUUCUAAGUUUGGGGGCUGAUGCAAAUUCAACAGAUGCAGAUGGCCGAAGAGCCCUUCAUAGGGCUAUUCAAGACAGCGAUUUUGAAAUGGUCAAGCUGUUGCUUGAACAAGGAGCAAACAUAGAUAUCCCAGAUGCUAAUUGUUGGACAUCAAAGGAUCUGGCUGGGAAAGCAGGAGAGAAGGACAUCUAUCAACUUUUAUUAAAUCACAAAAAGAGGACAAGAUUCACAACAGAAGAUCAUCAAAUUGAAAUCAGAUCAACUAACAGAAGCAGAAACAAUACAAUCCAAGGCAAUUGUGAAAGGAGCCAACAAUUCAUACACUCAACAUUUCCUGCAUGUUCAACAAGAGGCAGCCAUUUAGUUGAUAGCAAUCACAUAAAAAUGAGCACCAAAAGAGUUACCAUUCAUAUGUAUUCUCAAAGGUCACGAAGUUCAAGGGAACAAUUUGGAAAGCUGAUAAGCCUACCUGGUACUCUGGAUGAGCUCUUCAGAAUCGCCGGUAAGUAUCAUUUAUUUGGCAAGAAUAUAUGGUGAAAAACCUGUCAACUAAACUGGAUGAUUAUGUUUCCAUUCAGUUCAAUGCUAAAUUGACAAUCGCAUGAAAAAUAGAUUAUCUAAUAAAAGAACCAAGCAGAUAAAUAGAUUAUCUAAUAAAGAACCAAGCAGAUAAAUAAUCUCACCCCCCAAAAGGAAUCCAAACCUUAAACUAGGACUUACAACUGUAUGUGAACCAAAAUCCCAUCUCAUCCAGAGUUAUCCUCAAUUAUCCUUAAUUGGUCGUCUCACUGUCUUGCAAAAUUGCAGGUCAGAAGUUC
RNAcentral lists this long non-coding RNA (3032 nucleotides) under Phoenix dactylifera (date palm). RNAcentral describes it as "long non-coding RNA (PDAC_LNC000921)". Lineage: Eukaryota; Viridiplantae; Streptophyta; Magnoliopsida; Arecales; Arecaceae. The record is from RNAcentral.